ACUACUCAUCUCCUCAACAUUGAACUUCUUUGCAGAACAGAUGCUGACUCACAGACAUUGAAAAACUUAUGGUCUCUGGAGGAGACAGCUUGGGGGGUAGGGGGAUGUGCUUGGGUUGUGGGAUGGAAAUCCUGUGAAAUUGGAUUGUUAUGAUCAUUAUAUAACUACAGAUGUGAUAAAUUCAUAUGAGUAAUACAAAACAUUUAAAAAUGCUCAGGAUGACAUUGGAUUUGAAGUGAUGACUGCAUCAAAAAUGAAAAAUGCAAAAACUUUUAAACUCACUCACACAUGCACAUAAACAGCAUUUUCUGCUCAUCCAGGAUUUAAUCCUGUGUUUAUUAUUCAAGCAAAUCACAAGUAAUAGCUCCUUAUCUAAUUUGAAAUUUUAGUUACGGCUAAUUUUAGAGGACACAGUAAUCCUUUUUUUAUCUUCUGGCCAUUAUGCCAAUUUUGUCAAUUCAUUGCCUAGUUUCAGCUCUGCAAUUGAGUGACCUCUCCCACAGUACAAUGUGUUUAAAUGGCACGUCACGGUAGACCGAGGGUUGUCAGUUGCUUACUAACUUUAAAAAUAGUUGGCAGCAAUUUGUUCCACUUUUAUAUCUUAACAUGUGAUUUUGCUUUGUGAAACACAAAAGAUUAAUCUUAUAUUUAGGAACCAUUUGGUAGGGAAGCUGGUUGAGUAAAAUUUAAUUGAUUUUUUCUCCUCCUGCAGCUCUUGAAGAAAUAGAAUGUGAACCCAGCACCCAUCCUUUUGGAAAAGGCGCUUUCACUGGCUUAGACUGUUCCACUCAUAACCCUCAGUUAGCCCUGAAUCUUCUUUCUCUCACUCCCAAAGUCAAAUCUCGCCAUGUGGCACCUACUUUUCUGCCACACUAUCUCUCAAUCUGUCACCUUCUGUCUAUCACUAGAGCCAAUGACUUUUUCGCAUCACCUAAGAGGCUGGCGAUCUUGUCCUAAUUUAUCUUUUCAACCUCAUUUCCUGCUUCUCCCUUUCCACACACACACACACACACACACACACACACACACACACACGAGUCUCCAGUGACAUCCCUAUAUUUCUGAAGAUGCUCUGCACUGUCAUGUCUUCGUGCCUCCUGGUCCAUGCUCUCUCCUCUGCCCAGAAGUUCUUCUUGGGUUUCUGCUGACCCCUUUGACUCAUCCUUUAAGGACAGAUUCAGAGACCACC
Molecule: long non-coding RNA, 1189 nt
Filed under: Sus scrofa (pig)
Lineage: Eukaryota; Metazoa; Chordata; Mammalia; Artiodactyla; Suidae
Description: lncRNA (ENSSSCG00035034193.1)
Source: RNAcentral